GACGAACGCUGGCGGCGUGCUUAACACAUGCAAGUCGAGCGGUAAGGCCUUUCGGGGUACACGAGCGGCGAACGGGUGAGUAACACGUGGGUGACCUGCCUUUAGCUUCGGGAUAAGCCUGGGAAACCGGGUCUAAUACCGGAUAUGACCUCAUGUCGCAUGGUGUGGGGUGGAAAGUUCUUCGGCUAGAGAUGGGCCCGCGGCCUAUCAGCUUGUUGGUGGGGUGAUGGCCUACCAAGGCGACGACGGGUAGCCGGCCUGAGAGGGCGACCGGCCACAUUGGGACUGAGACACGGCCCAGACUCCUACGGGAGGCAGCAGUGGGGAAUCUUGCGCAAUGGGCGAAAGCCUGACGCAGCGACGCCGCGUGAGGGAUGACGGCCUCGG
This 387-nucleotide ribosomal RNA is filed under the name uncultured bacterium. RNAcentral describes it as "bacterial SSU rRNA". It matches the Rfam family "Bacterial small subunit ribosomal RNA", at positions 28 to 420 of the family's 1533-position model. The record is from RNAcentral.